CCUACGGGCGGCAGCAGUGAGGAAUUUUCCACAAUGGGCGAAAGCCUGAUGGAGCAACGCCGCGUGGGUGAAGAAGGUCUUCGGAUCGUAAAACCCUGUUGUUAGAGAAGAAAGUGCGUGAGAGUAACUGUUCACGUUUCGACGGUAUCUAACCAGAAAACCACGGCUAACUACGUGCCAGCAGCCGCGGUAAUACGUAGGUGGCAAGCGUUAUCCGGAUUUAUUGGGCGUAAAGGGAACGCAGGCGGUCUUUUAAGUCUGAUGUGAAAGCCUUCGGCUUAACCGGAGUAGUGCAUUGGAAACUGGGAGACUGGAGUGCAGAAGAGGAGAGUGGAACUCCAUGUGUAGCGGUGAAAUGCGUAGAUAUAUGGAAGAACACCAGUGGCGAAAGCGGCUCUCUGGUCUGUAACUGACGCUGAGGUUCGAAAGCGUGGGUAGCAAACAGGAUUAGAUACCCUGGUAGUC
This 465-nucleotide ribosomal RNA is filed under the name uncultured bacterium. Its description in RNAcentral is "partial 16S ribosomal RNA". It matches the Rfam family "Bacterial small subunit ribosomal RNA", at positions 338 to 795 of the family's 1533-position model. The record is from RNAcentral.